GUCUUUAUGAUUAUAAUUUAAAGUCUAAUCUGCCCACUGAGAAAUUAAAGGGCCGCAGUAAUUUGACUGUGCAAAGGUAGCAUAAUAAUUAGUUUUUUAAUUGAAAGCUGGAAUGAAUGAUUGGACGAGAAUAAAGCUGUCUUUAUUUAAUUUAAUUAGAAUUUAAUUUUUAAGUUAAAAAGCUUAAAUAUUAUUUAAAGACGAGAAGACCCUAUAGAGUUUAAUAUUUAAAAUUUACUUAAUUAUUAAGAUUAUUUUUUAAGUUUAAUUAGAGUAUUUUAUUGGGGUGAUAGAAAAAUUUAUUAAACUUUUUUAUUAUUUAAACAAAAAAUUUUGGUUAUUUGAUCUUAAAUUUGGAUUAAUUGAUUAAAUUACCUUAGGGAUAACAGCGUAAUUUUUUUGGAAAGUUCAUAUUGAUAAAAAAGAUUGCGACCUCGAUGUUGGAUUAAGAUUAAGUUUUAAUGUAGAAGUUAAAAAUUUUAAGUCUGUUCGACUUUUAAAAUCUUACAUGAUC
RNAcentral lists this ribosomal RNA (514 nucleotides) under Batrisodes lineaticollis. Its description in RNAcentral is "partial 16S ribosomal RNA". The stretch from base 382 to 514 matches the Rfam family "Bacterial large subunit ribosomal RNA", at positions 2473 to 2605 of the family's 2925-position model. Lineage: Eukaryota; Metazoa; Arthropoda; Insecta; Coleoptera; Staphylinidae. The record is from RNAcentral.